This is a non-coding RNA of Protopterus annectens (West African lungfish), 403 nucleotides long. The record is from the annotation of a RefSeq genome assembly. NCBI's taxonomy places the organism in Eukaryota, Metazoa, Chordata, Ceratodontiformes, Protopteridae.
GGGUGUUCUAAUCCUGACAACACUUCACAAAAUGUUCUGGGCUGCCGUCAUUACCCUGUUCAUAAUAACCUGGACAUGUAACAUUGUCCAGGCUGAUCUGACUCAGGAUUCAUCCUUGACCGCGUCUGUGGGACAGAAAGUUGAGCUCAUCUGUCGAGGCAGCAGCAUCACUAAUAGCUGGACUCUAAACUGGUACCAGCAAAAACCUGGCAGCACUCCAAGACUCCUUACGUAUGACAGUAGCAGAUACACAGGAGUCCCAGAAAGGUUCUCUGGUUCCAAAGACAGCUCAGCAAAAACUGGUAAACUAACCAUCUCUGGUGUCCAGGCCGAGGAUGAUGCUGAUUAUUACUGUAAUACAUGGGACAGCAGCCUAAGCUCACACACAGUGAUACAUUCAUAA